AAUGAUGUAUCCAGGAAUGAGGAGCAUAGAGGAAAGAGCCAUGAGCCAGCCGAUGCCCUGUCCCCAGCCUGGGAACACAUACUUGCCCAUGGUCAGCGGGGUCAUCUCUAUUGCACUGAAGACAAUUGUAAAACAUCCACUAUCUUGGUCUCGGUUAUUCGUAUUAUGGACAUACACACAAAACCCCUUCCUAGUCCUGGGGAUCCUUCUGAUGGUGUGUAAAUGAUGGCCAUGAAUCCUACAAUGGAGAAGAUGACAAAGCCAGCAAAUAUGCUGGUGAAGGAGUUUAUGCAGCACACAAUGAUGGCAUCUCUGCAACAUGGAGAAGAUUUCACAGAUAUGCAAGUAUUGUAGCUGCCCAGAGCAAUCAGAGAACCCAAACCGAGACCAUAAGAGAAGAAGAUCUGAGUGGCAGCAUCCAACCACACCUAAAGAAUACAGAGAUAUGGGAAUCUCCAUACGUUUCCCAGGCCAAUGGCAUAUCCUAUGCAGGACAGCAGGAAGUCAAACUUGCCCUUCCAGGUGCCUCGAUCGGGAAGGCUCUGCUUGCUCUCAUUCAGAGCAGAAGUCAGACUGUGGUUCACUUCCUCAAAUGGAAUAGCCUGCUUGAGCUCUGAUGGAUUGCAAUCCAGACCCUGUCCUGGAAAACUGGAUACAGGAAUAUACCCUAGAUGGGACAACAGUCCACUGCAGGGCACCUUGCAGACCCAUUAGUGCACUCAUUCACACGGCCAAUUUUGUGAGUGCAGACCAUGCCUGCAAAUAAAUGACAUGAAGAGUGGAACUGUAAAAAAAAAUGCCAGCACCCCCAGUAAAGACUCUUUGGUAGGAGUUGUUGAAAAGUAGCCAGGAGAUAGGAAGGCGUGUGCAGAAACCUCAACACUAGUAUAGAUAGAGACAGAUGGGAAUUUUUAAAGAAUGUAAUAAGAAACAAAGUGGAUCUUCAGGCAUGGUCUUUUUCCCAAAUUUCAGUUACUUAUUAACUCUGUGAGUAGCUAAUCUACCUACUGGCAUGCUUUGGGAUCCAUAACUAUGCAAAAACUGUAAACAGAGCUCAUGUUCUAACCGGGGACUGUGGAUCUAUGGGGUGCCAAUGCUAGCCACUGCUCUACCAUGCCACCCUGCAGAUUAAAUAUUUAUAUCACUUUACCACCACUGGUUUAUCCAGAAAUAACAUGCAUACAGCCAACAAUAUGACUAUAUAGCUCCAUCUUUCACUUAUCACUUUGUAAUUAAUUCCCUGCAAGGAGUAAAAGCCAUGCCCACAGCCUUACACUCUUAUUGGGAAACCACUCCUUAAACCCUUUAACAGGCAGCUCAACCACAUGGUUACACACAUUUAUAAUUGUAUAAUUUCAAUAUAUUAUAGUGUUCAUAAAUUCAUCUCCAACUUUUCCAUUUAUCUCAAGUGAUUACUAUGAGUGUUUCUGACAUAAUACAAUCACAAUGGGGCUCUUUCAGUUUUCAGUAUGAAAGCCAGAUGUUGAUGUCACAGCACUACUUUUCAUUCAUCAAGUUACUGAGCUAAAAUGUCAAAAGUUAGUCUCAUACCUUGACUAGCCUUUUUGACUAACCACUCUUGACAUUGUGAAGUUAUUAUAUUACAGUCAUGGCCCUGUAUAUGUAUGAGUUGUGUUAAAAGUGUUACCCCACGGUCACCAAGUCACUAAACUGAGCCAUUAUAUCGCUAAACUAAGGAGUUUUCUGCCUGCUGUCAGUGAGCUGUGAGCUAUCAUGAAUUUUAUCAGCAAUUUUAUGAGCAUAACAUUUUAUCAAGAUAACUUGUUUUACAACAAUUAACAAAAUGACAAUACAUAGAAUAUGUAUCAAGAAACUCACACUCAUGAACCACAGUCCUCAGGGUUUGUUUCCUAUAUUUAACAAAAAGAAAAAAGUGAAA
This is a long non-coding RNA of Pangasianodon hypophthalmus (striped catfish), 1900 nucleotides long. RefSeq lists it as uncharacterized. The record is from RefSeq and is a predicted model, not a curated record. The transcript is spliced from 6 exons. NCBI's taxonomy places the organism in Eukaryota, Metazoa, Chordata, Actinopteri, Siluriformes, Pangasiidae.